RNAcentral lists this ribosomal RNA (463 nucleotides) under Isostichopus badionotus. RNAcentral's name for it is "partial 16S large subunit ribosomal RNA". It matches the Rfam family "Bacterial large subunit ribosomal RNA", at positions 1941 to 2596 of the family's 2925-position model. The record is from RNAcentral. Lineage: Eukaryota; Metazoa; Echinodermata; Holothuroidea; Aspidochirotida; Stichopodidae.
CUUGACCGUGCAAAGGUAGCAUAAUCAUUUGUCUCUUAAAUGGGGACCUGUAUGAAUGGCUUUUCAUUCUCUAGCUGUCUCCCUUCUUCCCCCUUUAAACUUCUAUUUACGUGAAGAAGCGUAAUUUUGACAGAAAGACGAGAAGACCCUGUCGAGCUUCAGCUAAACCUAAGUCCCACUACAUUUCCUCUCAGAGAAAAAGUAAAGUCCUUAGAACAAGCUUUGGUUGGGGCAACCAUGGAGUAAAAACAGCCUCCAGUUUUUCAGGUAGAAAACUAUUCUCCUAAAUAUACACUUUUAGAACCAAAAAUUUUGGAAAACGGAAAAAGUUACCGCAGGGAUAACAGCGUUAUCUUUUCUAAGAGCCCUUAUUGACGAAAAGGAUUGCGACCUCGAUGUUGGAUUGGGGUAACCAGAGGGUGCAGCAGCUCUCCAAGGUUGGACUGUUCGUCCAUUAAUUCCC